RNAcentral lists this ribosomal RNA (271 nucleotides) under uncultured bacterium. RNAcentral describes it as "partial 16S ribosomal RNA". It matches the Rfam family "Bacterial small subunit ribosomal RNA", at positions 524 to 794 of the family's 1533-position model. The record is from RNAcentral.
UACGUAGGGUGCGAGCGUUAAUCGGAAUUACUGGGCGUAAAGCGUGCGCAGGCGGUUAUGUAAGACAGGUGUGAAAUCCCCGGGCUCAACCUGGGAACUGCAUUUGUGACUGCACGGCUAGGGUGUGUCAGAGGGGGGUAGAAUUCCACGUGUAGCAGUGAAAUGCGUAGAGAUGUGGAGGAACACCGAUGGCGAAGGCAGCCCCCUGGGAUAACACUGACGCUCAUGCACGAAAGCGUGGGGAGCAAACAGGAUUAGAUACCCCGGUAGU